CUUACCGGGACCGACAGCAAUAUGAAGGCCAGGCUGAAGACUUUGCCGGAUUAGCUGAGAGGUGGUGCAUGGCCGUCGUCAGUUCGUACUGUGAAGCAUCCUGUUAAGUCAGGCAACGAGCGAGACCCACGCCCACAGUUGCCAGCGUACUCUCUGGAGUGACGGGUACACUGUGGGGACCGCCGCUGCUAAAGCGGAGGAAGGAAUGGGCAACGGUAGGUCAGUAUGCCCCGAAUAUCCCGGGCUACACGCGAGCUACAAUGGUUGGUACAAUGGGUAUCUACCCCGAAAGGGGACGGGAAUCUCCUAAAACCAAUCUUAGUUCGGAUUGAGGGCUGCAACUCGCCCUCAUGAAGCUGGAAUCCGUAGUAAUCGCGUUUCAACAGAACGCGGUGAAUACGUCCCUGCUCCUU
This 413-nucleotide ribosomal RNA is filed under the name uncultured Methanosaeta sp. RNAcentral's name for it is "bacterial SSU rRNA". It matches the Rfam family "Archaeal small subunit ribosomal RNA", at positions 926 to 1338 of the family's 1478-position model. The record is from RNAcentral. Lineage: Archaea; Methanobacteriati; Methanobacteriota; Methanomicrobia; Methanotrichales; Methanotrichaceae.